Molecule: long non-coding RNA, 1272 nt
Filed under: Gallus gallus (chicken)
Lineage: Eukaryota; Metazoa; Chordata; Aves; Galliformes; Phasianidae
Description: lncRNA (ENSGALG00010015099.1)
Source: RNAcentral
AAGGGAUGGAGCCAGGAUCCACCUCUUUCCCAGACCUCAUUUAAGGGCUGGCAGUGGAAGUAAGAGCAUUUUGCUAGAGAUUCCUGUGUACCUGGGACCUUCUGAAGGAGCUGUGGAAGUCAGCCAUGCUCAGCCAGGACUUCACCCCCCAAGGAGCAGAUGAACCGUGCCAAAGGCUGAAUGCCUGGAAAUCCCCAGCAUGAAAGUCUUACGAUGAGCCCCAUAUGCAAUCUACCGCUGCCUUAGUAGAGGUAAGAAUUGAGGUUCCAAGUUGUCCCUUGCCUUAACUGGACCUGCUGGUAGAAGUGUACCAGAGAAAACUUCCUUACACUUUGUGGCACUUGAUAGUGCUGUUCAACACACGUGCAGAGUGGCGGCCCUGAGCACACCUCGUUGCAAGCUGCUUUGGGUUUAUGGUCCCUCUGUGGUCUUUGGGUAGCAUACUGGUCCUAGCUGGAGGAGUUUACAGCCAUGUUCUGGAAGACACAUUCUUUGUACUUACCUGUUAGAUUUUCAUAGAAGCUAUGUGUAUUUCCUAACAAGAUACAAAUGAUGGACUUGGUAUUCUUAGUGAUCUAUCCCUCUGCCUUCAAUCCAUUCUCCUGCAUAUCUUUUUGCUUUCCUUUCAUUGCAAUCAUGUUAACUGUGUACUGUAGCCAUUGCUGUCCGUGAUGUAUUUGUUUCAAAGCAUUUUACUUGUUAAGAGAGAGUUGGAUAACAAGUAAUAAAAAAAAUCCAAGCAUGUGACCAUUUGAUUGGUAAGUUUUGAGUGCAGUCCUACCAUCAUAAUGAAAGAGCAGAUCCCACAGAAUAAUACAAUGGAAGAAUAAUCUUUGCCACAGGGGAACUCUUGCAAGCAAAAUCAAUCUUGAUAGCUGUUUCUGUGGUUUAGAUGAAAUUAAUAGGCCGAGGGUGGGAAUGUAAUCCCAUGUUAACAACAUUUUUCAUGGCACCAUGAGCUGUGUAUCAUGCUCUCCUCAUGCAGUUGUGACCAUUUUUCAUAUAUCAAUACAUUAUGAUUCACCGUGAUGUACACAGAAACCAAAAGUCCAGAUGACGUUUUAGGGCUGUAACUGAAAGUUGGGGUUAUUUCUGUAGUUUAGCGUCUUGUUUUGUGAUUGUUGUUAGUUUUUUAUUUAUUCUUUUACGAAGAUGAUUCUAUUUUCUGUCUCUAUGAGAGGUUUACUUCUACAUUUAAGUAAUUUGCUAUUCUGCAGGGCCCACUUUAAGGAUUACAGGAAAAUUUAGCUUGGGCUUUUAAUACAAUGAAAU